This 1515-nucleotide long non-coding RNA is filed under the name Musa acuminata (dwarf banana). Its description in RNAcentral is "long non-coding RNA (MACU_LNC009622)". Lineage: Eukaryota; Viridiplantae; Streptophyta; Magnoliopsida; Zingiberales; Musaceae. The record is from RNAcentral.
UCUCUGCCUAGAUAGCAACGACCGUCGUCGUAACCUUAUAGGUAGGUCUCCGGGAUUCUGACCCAAAGCAUGGGUCCGCUACACUCCCAUCUAUAUCAGGAGGUCGGUUUGGAUGGUCCAGCGAUUGCGUGGUUUCUCCGUCAACUUCCCCGAACCCAAUGAUUCGACUCUCGCACCUUCUUUGCUACGCGAGGAAAGAGGGAACCCCAUCGAUACGAAAGCUUCAUCGGCAGCGGAGAGGAGAGGGGGAUGAAUGGUAGCUUUCGAAACGAGGUGCACCGGGCCGCCUUCGUGGUCCCGCGCUGGGACACGUUUCGAGCAAAUCAAAUGUCGCCAUUAAUGCUCUGAAAGCGAAGUCUCAACCACCGUCCGGGAUCUCCGCCCGUUUACCUCGACGCAUCUCCGAUGCCUGGAUUCCGAGGGCAUCGACUCACCCCAUCAACGAUUCACCGUCGUCCCAGAUGACGACAACAGUGCCCACGGCCAUCAUCGUCGUCUCACCACUACAAUAUUAAAAACGAUCCCAGCACAUGCGUCUCCGCGCCUGACCGAUCUUGAUCGCUCGCAUCGACUGUUGGACUCCACGGAGGAAGACAAGGUCUGUGGGCAUCGCGCGGUGCGAGACAUAUGCCGAGGGGUUGAGGGGGGGGAGUCACGAGGAUUGUCUACUCGGAACAGCGUCUCUGUCCACGGCGUGACUGUGCGCACGGCCGAAGAUCGAACGCCUGUCGGUAAAUUCGACGCUUAGAAGUUUGUAGCCGGCUCUCCCACGGGGAUGAGAGCAAGUGUCGGGCAUGGGAACUUGGAGCCCGCGCUCUACAGACGAAAGGUUGGUGAGAAGCUGACACGAGCAUCCCAUACUAGCUUAUCUCGCCACUCGAAAUAGAUUCCCUGCCGGGGGAAGGGACGACGAUCUCCGUGAUGGCCUUCGUGUUGGAUGGGAGUCGACAAGGGCCUUUUAUUUUUAUUUUUCUCCUUAUAAAUAGCAUACGUAGAUUCAUGCAUGCGUACUACAAAUUGGCAUCUGAUACAACGACAUGUUCCCAACUGAACUGAUCGCAUGAACGAUUUUGUUCUCCUUUCGGUCGGCCUUCUCACGAAAUUGUCGGAGAAUAUAACUACAGAGUAGGAUUCUGUCCCAUGUUUUUUCUUAAUGAAAUCUGGAUGAGAUUUUUGGUCUUCUUCUUCUUCUCUCUCUCUCUUUCUCUAAACAAAUUACGGCCGAUCAGUAUUGCAAAGGGUCCGAUGGAAUCUUUUUAAUCUUGGAAUCCGGAUAAGGGUCUAAAAAAUCAGCAAUCAAACGAGAUAUCUCAAUUUUGUGGCCCGUUUUGAUCCUUCGAGUCUAGCGGUCAGACCGUCGCAGUUCUUGGCAUGUGCGUCGGCGAAAAUGUCGAUGUCAGUCGCUCUCUUUGACGGAAGCCAAUCCCACAUCAUCCGGAUUGCUCCGUUAAGGAGUCGUCCGCUUUGAGCUCCGACCGAUCGGAUCGGAUUCCGAUCGACAGCCAGCCAGCCAGC